Molecule: ribosomal RNA, 586 nt
Filed under: Penicillium commune
Lineage: Eukaryota; Fungi; Ascomycota; Eurotiomycetes; Eurotiales; Aspergillaceae
Description: eukaryotic LSU rRNA
Rfam family: 5.8S ribosomal RNA (bases 207-359)
Source: RNAcentral
UCCGUAGGUGAACCUGCGGAAGGAUCAUUACCGAGUGAGGGCCCUCUGGGUCCAACCUCCCACCCGUGUUUAUUUUACCUUGUUGCUUCGGCGGGCCCGCCUUAACUGGCCGCCGGGGGGCUUACGCCCCCGGGCCCGCGCCCGCCGAAGACACCCUCGAACUCUGUCUGAAGAUUGAAGUCUGAGUGAAAAUAUAAAUUAUUUAAAACUUUCAACAACGGAUCUCUUGGUUCCGGCAUCGAUGAAGAACGCAGCGAAAUGCGAUACGUAAUGUGAAUUGCAAAUUCAGUGAAUCAUCGAGUCUUUGAACGCACAUUGCGCCCCCUGGUAUUCCGGGGGGCAUGCCUGUCCGAGCGUCAUUGCUGCCCUCAAGCCCGGCUUGUGUGUUGGGCCCCGUCCCCCGAUCUCCGGGGGACGGGCCCGAAAGGCAGCGGCGGCACCGCGUCCGGUCCUCGAGCGUAUGGGGCUUUGUCACCCGCUCGGUAGGCCCGGCCGGCGCUUGCCGAUCAACCCAAAUUUUUAUCCAGGUUGACCUCGGAUCAGGUAGGGAUACCCGCUGAACUUAAGCAUAUCAAUAAGCGGAGGA